RNAcentral lists this long non-coding RNA (199 nucleotides) under Gossypium raimondii (Peruvian cotton). RNAcentral describes it as "long non-coding RNA (GRAI_LNC006323)". Lineage: Eukaryota; Viridiplantae; Streptophyta; Magnoliopsida; Malvales; Malvaceae. The record is from RNAcentral.
UUUUUCAGUAUUUAAAUGUGUUAGAUGCCAACUUAAAUGCCCCAAAUUAACUGUAACACCUCUUACCCGUGUUUAUUGCCGAAACAGGGUAAAAAAUAUUAUCAAACAUAAAAUACAUAUUUUCAUACAAUCAGAGUUUUUUUUUAUAUAAAAUUUUUGACAUAAUCCCUUUUACAAAUGUCUAAUCCCUCCUCCAAAU